CUCACAUCCCUCCGCCACUCAUCAGGUUAAUUGCAGAUUUCCUUUUUCCAAUUUGUUCGCACCCCACAAACCACCCUCCACUCCCCACCAGUAUCUGACCAAAAUAUAGCUCCCUUCCUGAAUAUCGCACCGCCUGCCACAGGCUGCAAUUGUCACAACCUGUGACCUCCCUGCCAACUUUUCCUCCAGCCACCAGUCCUCUUGGGGACCUGCCUCCUCGCUAUGCUUUUGCAUCUCCAAUUCCUUUGGCCAGAAGUCUCCCCCCUCCCACUCCACGUGAUUCAUCCUUAGAUACCCUAGUUACACACUGGUGAAUCCUUGCAGGUCCCCACCCCAGUCCCAGUGUCUCUUUCCCUAUUGCAUCCACAGCAGCUGGGACUUGCCCUUGUCCUAUGUGUCACUUGUCCCUACAUACAGUUGCCUCCCCUACCUACCAGACUCUAGCUUCUUGAGAGUGCUGGCUGGGUCUUGUUCUCUCUGUCCCCCAAACACAUAGUACCUGACACAGUAGUCAUCAGAAAAAAAGGAAAGAAAAAAAGAAGAAAGAAAAGUGAACAAAUGGAAGAUUUGAGUGGCUGCUGGAUAUAACGAAGGAGCAGGGGUAUUGGUAAUUCAGUUGAGACGCCUUCUUGGAGGCCGCAAUGACAAGGGUUAGAUGUCAGGCAGAAAAGAUUUAGUGCAGUGAGAAGACUUCAGGAAGACCAGAGUGUUGAAGUACAUUAAUAUAACAGACAUUGAACACCUAUUGUCAGGCCUCAUGUUGGGCACCAGGGACCUCGGUCUGCACUCAGAUUGCAUCCUUUGUAGCAAAGAAGAAAGACAAGGUAGGCAAUGCCAGUACAGAGUACCAAGUGUCACAUGGUGAGCACAAGAUGUGACCUUACAGAGGAGCACCUGCAGCCUCUGG
This 907-nucleotide long non-coding RNA is filed under the name Marmota monax (woodchuck). Lineage: Eukaryota; Metazoa; Chordata; Mammalia; Rodentia; Sciuridae. The record is from RNAcentral.